GAAGAAAAGGCAAGUUGAAAGA
Molecule: microRNA, 22 nt
Filed under: Apis mellifera (honey bee)
Lineage: Eukaryota; Metazoa; Arthropoda; Insecta; Hymenoptera; Apidae
Description: ame-miR-3765-5p
Source: miRBase by way of RNAcentral